Molecule: ribosomal RNA, 310 nt
Filed under: uncultured bacterium
Lineage: Bacteria
Description: partial 16S ribosomal RNA
Rfam family: Bacterial small subunit ribosomal RNA
Source: RNAcentral
AAGAGACAGCAGUAGCCGCGGGAAUACGGAGGGUGCAAGCGUUAAUCGGAAUUACUGGGCGUAAAGCGCACGCAGGCGGUCUGACAAGUCAGAUGUGAAAUCCCCGGGCUUAACCUGGGAACUGCAUUUGAAACUGUCAGGCUGGAGUCUUGUAGAGGGGGGUGGAAUUCCAGGUGUAGCGGUGAAAUGCGUAGAGAUCUGGAGGAAUACCGGUGGCGAAGGCGGCCCCCUGGACAAAGACUGACGCUCAUGUGCGAAAGCGUGGGGAGCAAACAGGAUUAGAUACCCCAGUAGUCCCUGUCUCUUAUAC